GACGAACGCUGGCGGCGUGCUUAACACAUGCGAGUCGAACGCUGAAGCACCAGCUUGCUGGUGUGGAUGAGUGGCGAACGGGUGAGUAAUACGUGAGUAACCUGCCCUUGACUCUGGGAUAAGCCCGGGAAACUGGGUCUAAUACUGGAUGCUACAUGUCACCGCAUGGUGGUGUGUGGAAAGGGUUUACUGGUCUUGGAUGGGCUCACGGCCUAUCAGCUUGUUGGUGAGGUAAUGGCUCACCAAGGCGACGACGGGUAGCCGGCCUGAGAGGGUGACCGGCCACACUGGGACUGAGACACGGCCCAGACUCCUACGGGAGGCAGCAGUGGGGAAUAUUGCACAAUGGGCGAAAGCCUGAUGCAGCGACGCCGCGUGAGGGAGGACGGCCUUCGGGUUGUAAACCUCUUUCAGCAGGGAAGAAGCCACAAGUGACGGUACCUGCAGAAGAAGCGCCGGCUAACUACGUG
This 470-nucleotide ribosomal RNA is filed under the name uncultured bacterium. RNAcentral describes it as "partial 16S ribosomal RNA". It matches the Rfam family "Bacterial small subunit ribosomal RNA", at positions 28 to 507 of the family's 1533-position model. The record is from RNAcentral.